GAUGAACGCUGGCGGCGUGCCUAAUACAUGCAAGUCGAGCGAACGGACGAGAAGCUUGCUUCUCUGAUGUUAGCGGCGGACGGGUGAGUAACACGUGGAUAACCUACCUAUAAGACUGGGAUAACUUCGGGAAACCGUAGCUAAUACCGGAUAAUAUUUUGAACCGCAUGGUUCAAAAGUGAAAGACGGUCUUGCUGUCACUUAUAGAUGGAUCCGCGCUGCAUUAGCUAGUUGGUAAGGUAACGGCUUACCAAGGCAACGAUGCAUAGCCGACCUGAGAGGGUGAUCGGCCACACUGGAACUGAGACACGGUCCAGACUCCUACGGGAGGCAGCAGUAGGGAAUCUUCCGCAAUGGGCGAAAGCCUGACGGAGCAACGGCGCGUGAGUGAUGAAGGUCUUCGGAUCGUAAAACUCUGUUAUUAGGGAAGAACAUAUGUGUAAGUAACUGUGCACAUCUUGACGGUACCUAAUCAGAAAGCCACGGCUAACUACGUG
This 497-nucleotide ribosomal RNA is filed under the name uncultured bacterium. RNAcentral's name for it is "partial 16S ribosomal RNA". It matches the Rfam family "Bacterial small subunit ribosomal RNA", at positions 28 to 507 of the family's 1533-position model. The record is from RNAcentral.